Molecule: ribosomal RNA, 253 nt
Filed under: uncultured bacterium
Lineage: Bacteria
Description: partial 16S ribosomal RNA
Rfam family: Bacterial small subunit ribosomal RNA
Source: RNAcentral
UACAGAGGUCCCAAGCGUUGUUCGGAUUCACUGGGCGUAAAGGGUGCGUAGGCGGGUCUUUAAGUCAGGGGGGAAAUCCUGGAGCUCAACUCCAGAACUGCCUUUGAUACUGAGGAUCUUGAGUUCGGGAGAGGUGAGUGGAACUGCGAGUGUAGAGGUGAAAUUCGUAGAUAUUCGCAAGAACACCAGUGGCGAAGGCGGCUCACUGGCCCGAUACUGACGCUGAGGCACGAAAGCGUGGGGAGCAAACAGG